Molecule: ribosomal RNA, 152 nt
Filed under: uncultured bacterium
Lineage: Bacteria
Description: partial 16S ribosomal RNA
Rfam family: Bacterial small subunit ribosomal RNA
Source: RNAcentral
GCAGCCAUCGACGCACCCUGAUCCAGCCAUGCCGCGUGAGUGAUGAAGGCCUUAGGGUUGUAAAGCUCUUUCACCUGGGAAGAUAAUGACGGUACCAGGAGAAGAAGCCCCGGCUAACUCCGUGCCAGCAGCCGCGGUAAUAAACAGCAGCC